This 73-nucleotide transfer RNA is filed under the name Calditrichota bacterium. RNAcentral describes it as "Calditrichaeota bacterium tRNA-Lys". It matches the Rfam family "tRNA". Rfam says of the family: Transfer RNA (tRNA) molecules are approximately 80 nucleotides in length. Their secondary structure includes four short double-helical elements and three loops (D, anti-codon, and T loops). Lineage: Bacteria; Pseudomonadati; Calditrichota. The record is from RNAcentral.
GCCUCCGUAGCUCAAUUGGCAGAGCAGCGGACUCUUAAUCCGUUGGUUCGGGGUUCGACUCCCUGCGGAGGCA